Molecule: ribosomal RNA, 1517 nt
Filed under: metagenome
Description: bacterial SSU rRNA
Rfam family: Bacterial small subunit ribosomal RNA
Source: RNAcentral
AGAGUUUGAUCCUGGCUCAGAACGAACGCUGGCGGCGUGCCUAACACAUGCAAGUCGAACGAGAAAGCUCCUUCGGGGGUGAGUAAAGUGGCGCACGGGUGAGUAACACGUGGGUAAUCUACCUUCAGGUUUGGGAUAACUCGGGGAAACUCGGGUUAAUACCAGAUGAGACCACAUCGCUUUGGCGAUGUGGGAAAAGAGGGGGUCCUCUUCGGAGGCCUCUCGCCAGGGGAUGAGCCCGCGGUCCAUCAGGUUGUUGGUGGGGUAAUGGUCUACCAAGCCUAAGACGGAUAGCUGGUCUGAGAGGAUGAUCAGCCACACUGGAACUGAGAUACGGUCCAGACUCCUACGGGAGGCAGCAGUGGGGAAUAUUGCGCAAUGGGCGAAAGCCUGAUGCAGCAACGCCGUGUGUGUGAUGAAGGCCCUCGGGUCGUAAAGCACUGUCGGAACCCAAGAUGGGGGCAAAGGAAUAAUAUUCUUUGCUUCUGAUGGUAAGUUCAAAGGAAGCACCGGCUAACUCUGUGUUAGCAGUUGUGGUAAGACAGAGGGUGCAAGCGUUGUUCGGAAUUAUUGGGCGUAAAGCGCGCGUAGGCGGUUUUUCAAGUCGGAUGUGAAAGCCCGGGGUUUAAUUCCGGAAGUGCAUCCGAAAUUGGAUCACUUGAGUCCCGGAGAGGGUGGUGGAAUUCCUGGUGUAGAGGUGAAAUUCGUAGAUAUCAGGAGGAAUAUCCGUGGCGAAGGCGACCACCUGGACGGUGACUGACGCUGAGGUGCGAAAGCGUGGGGAGCAAACAGGAUUAGAUAUCCUGGUAGUCCACGCUGUAAACGAUGGAUACUAGGUGGUGCGGGUAUUGACCCCUGCACCGCCGGCGUUAACGCAAUAAGUAUCCCGCCUGGGAAGUACGGCCGUAAGGCUAAAACUCAAAGGAAUUGGUGGGGACCCGCACAAGCGGUGGAGCAUGUGGUUUAAUUCGACUACGCGAAGAAUUUUACCCAGGCUUAAUAUUGAAGGAACCUGAUGGAAACAUUGGGGUGCUCUUCGGAGCCCUGAAAAUAGGUGCUGUAUGGCUGUCGUCAGCUCGUGUUGUGAGAUGUUGGGUUAAGUCCCGCAACGAGCGUAACCCCUAUCGUUAGUUGCCAGCACGUGAUGGUGGGCACUCUAGCGAGACUGCCGGUGUCAAACCGGAGGAAGGUGGGGACGACGUCAAGUCCUCAUGGCCCCUUAUGUCUGGGGCUACACACGUGCUACAAUGGCUGCUACAAUGUGUUGCAAACCCGCGAGGGGGAGCAAAUUGCAAAAAAGCAGUCUCAGUUCGGAUCGGAGUCUGUAAUUUGACUCCGUGAAGUCGGAAUCGCUAGUAAUCGUGGAUUAGCAUGCCACGGUGAAUACGUUCCCGGGUCUUGUACACACCGCCCGUCACACCAUGGGAGUCGGUUGCUCCAGAAGUCUAUGAGCCAACAGUUUACUGAGGCAGUGGCUUAAGGAGUGGCUGGUAACUGGGGUGAAGUUGAAAUAAGGU